RNAcentral lists this ribosomal RNA (509 nucleotides) under uncultured Glomeraceae. RNAcentral describes it as "SSU rRNA". It matches the Rfam family "Eukaryotic small subunit ribosomal RNA", at positions 569 to 1078 of the family's 1831-position model. The record is from RNAcentral. Lineage: Eukaryota; Fungi; Glomeromycota; Glomeromycetes; Glomerales; Glomeraceae.
AGCAGCCGCGGUAAUUCCAGCUCCAAUAGCGUAUAUUAAAGUUGUUGCAGUUAAAAAGCUCGUAGUUGAAUUUCGGGAUCAAUGCGUCGGUCGUGCCUUCGGUACGUACUAGCGUCAUUGAUUCCUCCCUUCUGAAGAACCGUGAUGUCAUUUAAUUUGGUGUUACGGGGAAUCAGGACUGUUACCUUGAAAAAUUAAGAGUGUUUAAAGCAGGCUAACGCUUGAAUACAUUAGCAUGGAAUAAUGAAAUAGGACGUUCGAACCUAUUUUGUUGGUUUCUAGGAUCGACGUAAUGAUUAAUAGGGAUAGUUGGGGGCAUUAGUAUUCAAUUGUCAGAGGUGAAAUUCUUGGAUUUAUUGAAGACUAACUACUGCGAAAGCAUUUGCCAAGGAUGUUUUCAUUAAUCAAGAACGAAAGUUAGGGGAUCGAAGACGAUCAGAUACCGUCGUAGUCUUAACCAUAAACUAUGCCGACUAGGGAUCGGAUGAUGUUAAUUUUUUAAUGACUCA